RNAcentral lists this ribosomal RNA (225 nucleotides) under uncultured bacterium. RNAcentral's name for it is "partial 16S ribosomal RNA". It matches the Rfam family "Bacterial small subunit ribosomal RNA", at positions 109 to 334 of the family's 1533-position model. The record is from RNAcentral.
CGUAACACGUGAGCAACCUACCGAAAUGCGGGGGAUAGCCGGCCUAACGGCCGAGUAAUACCGCAUACGCUCUUUAUGAGGCAUUUCAUGGAGAGGAAACCUACGGGGUAUUUCGAGGGGCUCGCGGCCUAUCAGCUAGUUGGCGAGGUAACGGCUCACCAAGGCAACGACGGGUAGCUGGUCUGAGAGGAUGGCCAGCCACAUUGGGACUGAGAUACGGCCCAG